UACGUAGGGGGCGAGCGUUGUCCGGAAUCAUUGGGCGUAAAGCGCGAGCAGGCGGCUGAGAGAGCCCGGCGUGAAAGCCCCCGGCUCAACCGGGGGAGGCCGUCGGAGACCUUUUGGCUAGAGGCCGGCAGGGGUGAGUGGAAUUCCCGGUGUAGUGGUGGAAUGCGUAGAGAUCGGGAGGAACACCAGUGGCGAAGGCGGCUCACUGGGCCGGACCUGACGCUGAGGCACGAAGGCCAGGGGAGCAAACGGG
Molecule: ribosomal RNA, 253 nt
Filed under: uncultured bacterium
Lineage: Bacteria
Description: partial 16S ribosomal RNA
Rfam family: Bacterial small subunit ribosomal RNA
Source: RNAcentral